UACAGAGGCGGCAAGCGUUGUUCGGAAUUAUUGGGCGUAAAGAGCACGUAGGCGGCUAUGUAAGUCUGUUGUGAAAGCCUUCCGCUCAACGGAAGAACUGCAGCAGAUACUGCAUGGCUAGAGUGCGGGAGGGGAGAGUGGAACUUCUGGUGGAGCGGUGAAAUGCGUAGAUAUCAGAAGGAACGCCGGCGGCGAAAGCGACUCUCUGGCCCGUAACUGACGCUGAGUGUGCGAAAGCUAGGGGAGCAAACGGG
This 254-nucleotide ribosomal RNA is filed under the name uncultured bacterium. RNAcentral's name for it is "partial 16S ribosomal RNA". It matches the Rfam family "Bacterial small subunit ribosomal RNA", at positions 524 to 776 of the family's 1533-position model. The record is from RNAcentral.